CUCGAAAGAGCAGCUAAUACCGCAUACGACCUGAGGGUGAAAGCGGGGGAUCGCAAGACCUCGCGCAAUUGGAGCGGCCGAUAUCAGAUUAGGUAGUUGGUGGGGUAAAGGCCCACCAAGCCAACGAUCUGUAGCUGGUCUGAGAGGACGACCAGCCACACUGGGACUGAGACACGGCCCAGACUCCUACGGGAGGCAGCAGUGGGGAAUUUUGGACAAUGGGCGCAAGCCUGAUCCAGCCAUGCCGCGUGCGGGAAGAAGGCCUUCGGGUUGUAAACCGCUUUUGUCAGGGAAGAAACGAGUUUCUCUAAUACAGAGACUUAAUGACGGUACCUGAAGAAUAAGCACCGGCUAACUACGUGCCAGCAGCCGCGGUAAUACGUAGGGUGCAAGCGUUAAUCGGAAUUACUGGGCGUAAAGCGUGCGCAGGCGGUUAUGCAAGACAGCAUGUGAAAUCCCCGGGCUCCAACCUGGCGAACUGCCUUUGUGACUGCAUAGCUAGAGUACGGUAGAGGGGGAUGGAAUCCGCGUGUAGCAGUGAAAUGCGUAGAUAUGCGGAGGAACACCGAUGGCGAAGGCAAUCCCCUGGACCUGUACUGACGCUCAUGCACGAAAGCGUGGGGAGCAAACAGGAUUAGAUACCUGGUAGUCCAGCCCUAAACGAUGUCAACUGGUUGUUGGGAGGGUUUCUUCUCAGUAACGUAGCUCACGCGUGAAGUUGACCGCCUGGGGAGUACGGACGCAAGGUUGAAACUCAAAGGAAUCGACGGGGAACCCGCACAAGCGGUGGAUGAAUGUGCUUUAAUUCGAUGCAACGCGAAAAACCUUACCUACCCUUGACAUGCCAGGAAUCCUGCAGAGAUGUGGGAGUGCUCGAAAGAGAACCUGGACACAGGUGCUGCAUGGCCGUCGUCAGCUCGUGUCGUGAGAUGUUGGGUUAAGUCCCGCAACGAGCGCAACCCUUGUCAUUAGUUGCUACGAAAGGGCACUCUAAUGAGACUGCCGGUGACAAACCGGAGGAAGGUGGGGAUGACGUCAGGUCAUCAUGGCCCUUAUGGGUAGGGCUACACACGUCAUACAAUGGCCGGGACAGAGGGCUGCCAACCCGCGAGGGGGAGCUAAUCCCAGAAACCCGGUCGUAGUCCGGAUCGCAGUCUGCAACUCGACUGCGUGAAGUCGGAAUCGCUAGUAAUCGCGGAUCAGCUUGCCGCGGUGAAUACGUUCCCGGGUCUUGUACACACCGCCCGUCACACCAUGGGAGCGGGUUCUGCCAGAAGUAGUUAGCCUAACCGC
This 1293-nucleotide ribosomal RNA is filed under the name uncultured Gammaproteobacteria bacterium. RNAcentral describes it as "bacterial SSU rRNA". It matches the Rfam family "Bacterial small subunit ribosomal RNA", at positions 150 to 1442 of the family's 1533-position model. Lineage: Bacteria; Pseudomonadati; Pseudomonadota; Gammaproteobacteria. The record is from RNAcentral.